RNAcentral lists this transfer RNA (73 nucleotides) under Ailuropoda melanoleuca (giant panda). It matches the Rfam family "tRNA". From Rfam's summary of the family: Transfer RNA (tRNA) molecules are approximately 80 nucleotides in length. The record is from Rfam by way of RNAcentral. Lineage: Eukaryota; Metazoa; Chordata; Mammalia; Carnivora; Ursidae.
ACCUGACUAGCUCAGUCGGUAGAGUGUGAGACUUUUGAUCUUGGGGUUGUAAGUUUGAGCCCCAUGUUGGGCA